RNAcentral lists this long non-coding RNA (3426 nucleotides) under Solanum tuberosum (potato). RNAcentral describes it as "long non-coding RNA (STUB_LNC003859)". Lineage: Eukaryota; Viridiplantae; Streptophyta; Magnoliopsida; Solanales; Solanaceae. The record is from RNAcentral.
CAGAUUUCUCUUCAAGUGUUGUAGCAAUUGCAUCACAAGUUUGAUGAAAUUUUUCAAAAAUGAUUGAAUCUGCCACUUUUCUUUAUUUGUUUCUAGAGUGAAGGCUGAAAAAAUUACCUGAACUGAAGGAGAAGUGAGUUUCUUAUCUGAAAUAUCACUAUAUGUUCACAUAGGAGAAGUAAACUAUUGAUGGUUGACUUGUGUUUUGACAAAUAGUUGGUGAUAGUUCAUAGUUCAGUGAUGAAAUUCAAAUACCGAAUACUUAAGGUGUGAUUUUUGCCAUUGACUCUUUGUUUCUCAUUUCUUGCACAAUGGUUGUUUGGUUAUUUCCUAUUAAUGAAAUAAUAAUGUAUAUGAACUUGCAUGACCUUUAUUGUGAAUUAUAAUCUUCCAAACUACUUAUUUUGGCUUCUCCGGGAGGUGAUGGACAGAUGCGAAAAAGAAAAGUUAGUGUAUGACUCAUGUUGGAUGGCAAUGUCAAUAUUACAGAUGGUUGCAAAACACUUUCAAUGUCAUGCAUUUAUAUUUAUUUUUUACAAUUAUAUAUCAAGUAAAGAACAUAUUUUGCCAAGUUCUUUUUGGCAGUUUUUUGGCAGAGUCCAUAGAAACAUGCCUUUGAUUUAGAUUGUGUCACGAGUCGUUCUCUCUACUAACUGUCAGAAUAAUCCGAAAGUCAAUCAUUCCCAGCUUUGAUAUGAAGGUAUGGGGGAGAUCAAAAGGGAGUAUGUUAGUCAAAUAGAGGGCUCUCAGGUGCAUAUCCUGUUUCUCCAUUUGUACGAGUACAUUAUUUUUUGUAGAACAAUAAUAACAAUCAAUACCAUAGAUUCAUAACUAUAAAUUGCUUAUUGCAAAUAUAGCAAUAACAGAAAAGGCAAGAUUCUUACCUCCUCCUUGCCAACUUCUACAUACAUCUCCCUACAUGAUUCAUAUAAUUGUAGCCAAGGUAAGAAACAACUGUACAAGAUAACUUGACAAUACUCUUAUUGUUAUAAACUCUAUCCCUCCCCCUAUUACAAGUUCGAUAACACUACAAGCAAGAGCAAAAUUGUAUGAUCAUUUGAAGAAAAUAAAAGAUGUAGCUUUUAAACUCUGCAUAAAGGAUUUGUUUUUCUCAUUCCAAUGCUUCAAUGACAAUUUUCUUACUAGGAGCACUGAGCACAAAUUAUUGUAUCAUUGAACACACUAAAUCACCAUUUAAAGAAAUAAUAGUAAUGAGAAGCUUAGAUGAAUUGUCAAUUUUCUAUUCUUUGACAAGUCUAAUAAUUCAAGUAUUUAAGAAUUUUAAUUAGUUUAUCCUCUCUUAAAAUUUUAUUGAGGACUCUUUUAGCAAAGAGAAGUCUCAUCGACAUCGGACCUUAUUUAAUAAUUCUAUUCGAGUAUUAAAAUGAAGAUAUUUUUUUAGAUGUUAAUGGAACUCUUUAACAUCCUUGCAGACUAAUUAAAGAAAGAAAGAGGCAAGGUAUUAAGAAUGUAUUCAGUGCUACUUCAAUCAAGUAAGUUUUACUUUUUCUGGUGAUUAUUUUUAUUUUAUUAUGUAAUAUGUGGAAUAUGGAUGGAGAGAUUUUAUCUACACCCUCUUUUUUUUUUGUAGACAUCUUAAGAUAUCCAGCCAUUUUUCGAGGAGUUUACUUUAACUAUUGUCAUGUCAUGGGAGAUGAAAACUCACCAAAUCUUUUUAGUUCGUCUUGACUUUGUAUUUGUUUAUAUUAUGCACACUCUAUAGAGUUUCACAUUCUCAUGGAUUUGACUCCUUUGUGAUUCAAAUACAUCUGGUAUACUCACUAAUUAGUACUGUUGGAUCCUUGCUCACCUAUAGUUAUAUUGUUGAGUGAGGCAAGUAACUGAGAAAAACAAUUAAAUUCCAAAAACAGAACAAGAAGGAGCCAACCCAUGAAAAAGGGAAAAACAUUCAAGUUCCAGAAACAGAACAAGGAGGAGGCCAAAUCAUGAAAAAUGAUUGAUUUCAAAUUCUCUAAUUUUCAAGACUUAAGGUACAAUUUCACAUACCUUUUUCAGGUUUUUGAAAUUGUAGGUCUCUUUUUCUUGAAAACAAACCACAAUGUUCUAUUUUGAAUGGUGUUGUAGUAGUAUUUAGUAGUUAUUCUUGGAUAGAAGUUACAGUUUUAGUAUUAGAUACAAAAAAUUUAAAAUACUUCACCUGUAGAGUCGACUUUAUAGUAGUUCUGGGAUUGAGAGACUAAUGAUGGUUGGGAAUGAUUUGGUAAUAUUCUUUCCCUUAAUGAGGUAUUAUGUGUGAUUUUGACACACAUAAUAUCUAAUGAAGAAGGUUUUACAUAUUAUGUGAUUAUGCAUGUGGGAUAGGUUUUGCUUAAAAAAAUUGUCGUUCAGAUUUUCAUUUAUUGAAUUGAUAAUCUUAAGUCGAGUAGUAAACUUAAAUGAAAGGAUACAAACAUAGCUAUAGCAUGCUUUUAUCUCUGUCACACACUCAAACUAUUAAUGUUAGAGUUAAGGUUAAUGGCUAAGCGGGUCUAACAGAUCUAUGUACUCCGUCCCUCUAUAUUAUCAUUUUUAGUUUUACUUAGUUGUUCAUUAUCACUUUAUUAGAUUCAGAAGCUACCAUCUUUGCUGAGCUUUGUAAAUCAAAUAGCAUUCUGUAAUAUAUGAUUUUUAGGAGGACAAGAAAAAAAAUUGUCCAUAAUAUCUUAAGACUGCUUCCUGUUAAGGAUAGUCAAGGAGGAAAACAAUGUGAUUGAGAUGACACAUGUAAUUUUAUUUUUCCCUCUUUUUUUUGUUAAGAUAAAUGAAAGUCCAGAGAUAAAUUCUUCCCUCCAUAUAUCAUUUUACUUGUCAAAAGAAAAAAGAACUUGUCACCUAAAAAUAUAUCACUUAAUGAAUUUAUAUUGAGUAGAGAUUUUGGCUCAAUUUUGCUAAAAGAGGACUUGAGCAAAUGUGUACCUUUAUAAGGUGUUCGUAGUGUAGAUAAGAACAUACAUAGCAAGUCAAGUCGGUAAGAUGGAAGUUGGCUUUUAAAAGAACUACUUAAUUAACUUCUAUUUUUAUCACCUUGAUAUAAAUAUGCAGUUUGUGCAAAUAAGAAGUUGAUAGACUUAACAAGAACUUGUGCUGAUUAUUUUUGGUGUGUGCACUUCAAAUAAUUUGCAGGGAACAACAAAUAGUAAUGUCUGGGCACAGAAGAGUUAGAUAUGUACAAAAAGUUGAAAAGUUGAUGUUCUCCAUAGUACAUUGGAUAGUCCAGAUGUUGACACAUUAUUAGUAAUGUCUGUAAAUGCAGAAUGUUUCUAACAACUUCGAGCAUUCUCCCUUUCUUACUUUUUGAUUAUUUCGUUUGGGUGCAAAUUUGAGUCAAUAUUUUAUGUAGUCUACCUUAUCAAUGAUUUUGCAGAUGCUUGAGUGAAUACAUUUUAUUUCCAUACUUGAUCAUCCCUUUCGCUAAUUCAUAUACAC